Molecule: non-coding RNA, 83 nt
Filed under: Haptolina ericina
Lineage: Eukaryota; Haptophyta; Prymnesiales; Prymnesiaceae
Source: RNAcentral
CAAAAGGUAGAUAAGUAGUUUAAAGAGACGUCCCAUUGUCGUGUCCUGCUCAUUUUGCCCGUUGUUUUUUUUUUUUUUUUUUU